RNAcentral lists this ribosomal RNA (396 nucleotides) under Gonatodes caudiscutatus (shieldhead gecko). RNAcentral describes it as "partial large subunit ribosomal RNA". The record is from RNAcentral. Lineage: Eukaryota; Metazoa; Chordata; Lepidosauria; Squamata; Sphaerodactylidae.
ARGGGGCAGCCMUGAGGAUGUNNCUUGWUCUCAWYUUAGUUGCUCAAUGAACUUGAUCUUUCAGUACAAAAGCUGAAAUAUUCCCAUAAGACGAGAAGACCCUGUGGAGCUUAAGCUAAAACACUACUAUUAUAUAGUGCCUCCCUUUAGUUGGGGCGACUACGGAACAAAACACAACUUCCCUGCCACACAAUUAACCCCGCAACGACACACAUGUCACUGCACCCCUACCACGACCCAGUACUACUGACUAACGAACCAAGUUACCCCAGGGAUAACAGCGCCAUCCUCUUCUAGAGCCCCUAUCGCCAAGAGGGUUUACGACCUCGAUGUUGGAUCAGGACCUCCUGGUGGUGCAGCCGCUACCAAGGGUUCGUUUGUUCAACGAUUAAUGUC